This 501-nucleotide ribosomal RNA is filed under the name uncultured bacterium. RNAcentral's name for it is "partial 16S ribosomal RNA". It matches the Rfam family "Bacterial small subunit ribosomal RNA", at positions 30 to 523 of the family's 1533-position model. The record is from RNAcentral.
AUUGAACGCUGGCGGCAGGCUUAACACAUGCAAGUCGAGCGGAGAGAGGUAGCUUGCUACUGAUCUUAGCGGCGGACGGGUGAGUAAUGCUUAGGAAUCUGCCUAUUAGUGGGGGACAACAUUUCGAAAGGAAUGCUAAUACCGCAUACGUCCUACGGGAGAAAGCAGGGGAUCUUCGGACCUUGCGCUAAUAGAUGAGCCUAAGUCGGAUUAGCUAGUUGGUGGGGUAAAGGCCUACCAAGGCGACGAUCUGUAGCGGGUCUGAGAGGAUGAUCGGCCACACUGGGACGGAGCCGCGGCCCAGACUCCUACGGGAGGCAGCAGUGGGGAAUAUUGGACAAUGGGCGGAAGCCUGAUCCAGCCAUGCCGCGUGUGUGAAGAAGGCCUUAUGGUUGUAAAGCACUUUAAGCGAGGAGGAGGCUACUUUAGUUAAUACCUAGAGAUAGUGGACGUUACUCGCAGAAUAAGCACCGGCUAACUCUGUGCCAGCAGCCGCCGUAA